AACGAACGCUGGCGGCAUGCCUAACACAUGCAAGUCGAACGCUCCGCAAGGGGAGUGGCGCACGGGUGAGUAACACGUGGGAACCUGCCUAUUGGUUCGGAACAACGUUUGGAAACGAACGCUAAUACCGGAUAUCCCCCGAGGGGGAAAGAUUUAUCGCCAAUAGAGGGGCCCGCGUCCGAUUAGGUAGUUGGUGGGGUAAAGGCCUACCAAGCCGACGAUCGGUAGCUGGUCUGGGAGGAUGAUUAGCCACACUGGGACUGAGACACGGCCCAGACUCCUACGGGAGGCAGCAGUGGGGAAUAUUGGACAAUGGGCGGAACCCUGAUCCAGCAAUGCCGCGUGAGUGAUGAAGGCCUUAGGGUUGUAAAGCUCUUUCGCACGUGACGAUGAUGACGGUAACGUGAGAAGAAGCCCCGGCUAACUUCGUGCCAGCAGCCGCCGUAA
RNAcentral lists this ribosomal RNA (447 nucleotides) under uncultured bacterium. Its description in RNAcentral is "partial 16S ribosomal RNA". It matches the Rfam family "Bacterial small subunit ribosomal RNA", at positions 29 to 523 of the family's 1533-position model. The record is from RNAcentral.